GAUUAAGAACGUAGCGAAAUGCGAUAAGUAAUGUGAAUUGCAGAAUUCAGUGAAUCAUCGAAUCUUUGAACGCACAUUGCGCCCGCCAGUAUUCUGGCGGGCAUGCCUGUUCGAGCGUCAUUUCAACCCUCAAGCCCAGCUUGGUGUUGGGGAUCGGCACAGGCGCCCUCGGGCGCCCGCCGUCCCCUAAAUCUAGUGGCGGUCCCGCUGCAGCCUCCUCUGCGUAGUAGUUUUCUCCUCGCAAGGGCAGCUCGGUGGCGACCUCGCCGUAAAACCCCCAACUUCUGAAAGGUUGACCUCGAAUCAGGUAGGAAUACCCGCUGAACUUAAGCAUAUCAAUAAGCGGAGGA
Molecule: unclassified non-coding RNA, 350 nt
Filed under: soil metagenome
Description: partial contains 5.8S ribosomal RNA, internal transcribed spacer 2, and large subunit ribosomal RNA
Rfam family: 5.8S ribosomal RNA (bases 1-120)
Source: RNAcentral